RNAcentral lists this non-coding RNA (46 nucleotides) under Schistosoma margrebowiei. Lineage: Eukaryota; Metazoa; Platyhelminthes; Trematoda; Strigeidida; Schistosomatidae. The record is from RNAcentral.
UCAUUGCUAAAGAGUCCCAUACUAGGACGAAACGGCCGUCCAAUGC